AGUGAAGUGCUUGUCUUAAUUAAAACUUGCAAGGAAGAAAAUGUUUGGGUUUCCUACAAUGAAGGGGAAGCUGCAACUCCCUAAACCUGAGGCUUGAGACAAAAUGCUUCAGUGAGUCAGAAGAUUAAAGCAUAGAAGUUUAACUAGCAGAGAGUUCAAGAAGCUACUGAGCCAUGACAGACCAGACAGUUUUGUGACUGACAGGGGAUGAUCUGACCUGAAAGCACAUGAGACCACCACCUUGCUAAAGCUCAGCAGGUCUGUGUUUGGACAGUGUCUGGAUGGGAGACUCCCACACUUCACAGUGAGAGCCUUGGGUCCAGUGAUGGAAGAAAGGCAUAAUAUACAUGAGGGAAAAUAAAGAAUAAAAAAUUAUCACCAUACUCUUAUGUU
This is a long non-coding RNA of Rhineura floridana, 393 nucleotides long. RefSeq lists it as uncharacterized. The transcript has 3 exons. NCBI's taxonomy places the organism in Eukaryota, Metazoa, Chordata, Lepidosauria, Squamata, Rhineuridae. The record is from RefSeq and is a predicted model, not a curated record.